RNAcentral lists this non-coding RNA (171 nucleotides) under Alteribacillus iranensis. The record is from RNAcentral. Lineage: Bacteria; Bacillati; Bacillota; Bacilli; Caryophanales; Bacillaceae.
UCCACCGUGAGGUGGAAUCUGAAGGAAGCUGGAGGCAAAUCUCCGACCCGAGGAACACGAAUCUCAUAAAAGGCUGUCCUUCUUGGGUGAGGCUGCAAAACAAGUCGAAGUCCGAGCGACCAAAGGGAAGGGCAGUAAAUGAGGCGGGUACAUGGAGAGGAAGUUUGUGCA